This 124-nucleotide small RNA is filed under the name Marmota monax (woodchuck). The record is from RNAcentral. Lineage: Eukaryota; Metazoa; Chordata; Mammalia; Rodentia; Sciuridae.
GCUGGGCAUGGUGGUGCACACCUGUAAUCCCAGCAGCUCGGGAGGCUGAGACAAGAGGAUCUCGAGUUCAAAGCCAGGCUCAGCAAAAGUGAGACAUAAGCAACUCAAUGAGAACCUGUCUCUA